This 466-nucleotide ribosomal RNA is filed under the name uncultured bacterium. RNAcentral's name for it is "partial 16S ribosomal RNA". It matches the Rfam family "Bacterial small subunit ribosomal RNA", at positions 28 to 507 of the family's 1533-position model. The record is from RNAcentral.
GAUGAACGCUGCGGCGCGCCUAACACAUGCAAGUCGAACGAUUAAAGCACCUUCGGGUGUGCAUAAAGUGGCGAACGGCUGAGUAACACGUGGGCAACCUGCCCCUUUCAUUGGGAUAGCCACGGGAAACCGUGGAUAAUACCGAAUACUUCGAGACUUCCGCAUGGAAGACUCGAGAAAGCUCCGGCGGAGAGGGAUGGGCCCGCGGCCUGUUAGCUUGUUGGUGGGGUAACGGCCUACCAAGGCAAUGAUGGGUAGCUGGGUUGAGAGACCGACCAGCCAGAUUGGGACUGAGACACGGCCCAGACUCCUACGGGAGGCAGCAGUGGGGAAUCUUGCACAAUGGGCGAAAGCCUGAUGCAGCGACGCCGCGUGCGGGAUGAAGGCCUUCGGGUUGUAAACCGCUUUCAGCAGGGACGAGGCGAAAGUGACGGUACCUGCAGAAGAAGCCCCGGCUAACUACGUG